Molecule: transfer RNA, 64 nt
Filed under: Acanthosepion esculentum (golden cuttlefish)
Lineage: Eukaryota; Metazoa; Mollusca; Cephalopoda; Sepiida; Sepiidae
Description: Sepia esculenta (golden cuttlefish) tRNA-Ala
Source: RNAcentral
GGUAUUAUAUUUUAUAUAGAAAAUAUGACUUGCAAUCAUACAGAAAGAUUUAUCUUUAAUUCCU